This 429-nucleotide long non-coding RNA is filed under the name Aotus nancymaae (Ma's night monkey). RNAcentral's name for it is "lncRNA (ENSANAG00000039118.1)". The record is from RNAcentral. Lineage: Eukaryota; Metazoa; Chordata; Mammalia; Primates; Aotidae.
UUAUUACUAUUACCAUUGUAAUAAAUACCUAUUAUUUUUCAGGUGGGACUACCAAGAUGAAAAGAUAUACGCCUCAUUGUUACAACUUCAGGAAGUUUAUCGUGGGAGUCAAGUGUGCAAAUCAACAAUUGGCAUGCAACUUUCAAGAGUUAAUAAUGGACCUAAAAAAUCUUGAUUUAAAUCCGAAGACAAUGUAGAUAUUCAAGGGCUCAAAAGGAAACCGAGAAGGAAAACAAUCAGCUCUUUUUGCUCUGGGCUGAGAGAGUGAGCUGUAAUGAGGAAGCACACAAAUGCAUUGGGCGCCCUCAGACCUGAACACACAGGUUAGCACCACCUGCCUGGCUGACCCAGCUCACAGGUGCGCAGUUGCCAGGUAACGCUUGGGAUCUCAGGGUGCCUUCAGAAGCCCAGCAGUUGGCUUGGGGAGGU